ACGGGGUGCAGCAGGCGCGAAAACUUUACAAUGCGGGAAACCGCGAUAAGGGGACACCGAGUGCCAGCAUCCUAUGUUGGCUGUCCAUAUGUAUAAAUAACAUGUGUUAGCAAGGGCCGGGCAAGACCGGUGCCAGCCGCCGCGGUAACACCGGCGGCCCGAGUGGUGGCCACUAUUAUUGGGUCUAAAGGGUCCGUAGCCGGUUUGGUCAGUCUUCCGGGAAAUCUGACGGCUUAACCGUUAGGCUUUCGGGGGAUACUGCCAGGCUUGGGACCGGGAGAGGUAAGAGGUACUACGGGGGUAGGAGUGAAAUCUUGUAAUCCCUGUGGGACCACCAGUGGCGAAGGCGUCUUACCAGAACGGGUCCGACGGUGAGGGACGAAAGCUGGGGGCACGAACCGGAUUAGAUACCCGGGUAGUCCCAGCCGUAAACUAUGCUCGCUAGGUGUCAGGGACGGUGCGACCGUUUCUGGUGCCGUAGGGAAGCCGUGAAGCGAGCCACCUGGGAAGUACGGUCGCAAGGCUGAAACUUAAAGGAAUUGGCGGGGGAGCAC
This 554-nucleotide ribosomal RNA is filed under the name uncultured archaeon. RNAcentral's name for it is "bacterial SSU rRNA". It matches the Rfam family "Archaeal small subunit ribosomal RNA", at positions 325 to 879 of the family's 1478-position model. The record is from RNAcentral.